RNAcentral lists this ribosomal RNA (389 nucleotides) under uncultured bacterium. RNAcentral's name for it is "bacterial SSU rRNA". It matches the Rfam family "Bacterial small subunit ribosomal RNA", at positions 29 to 420 of the family's 1533-position model. The record is from RNAcentral.
AUUGAACGCUGGCGGCAUGCCUUACACAUGCAAGUCGAACGGCAGCACGGGAGCAAUCCUGGUGGCGAGUGGCGAACGGGUGAGUAAUACAUCGGAACGUGCCCGGUAGUGGGGGAUAACCCGGCGAAAGCCGGACUAAUACCGCAUACGACCUGAGGGUGAAAGCGGGGGAUCGCAAGACCUUGCGCUAUUGGAGCGGCCGAUGUCAGAUUAGCUAGUUGGUGGGGUAAAGGCCACCAAGGCGACGAUCUGUAGCUGGUCUGAGAGGACGACCAGCCACACUGGGACUGAGACACGGCCCAGACUCCUACGGGAGGCAGCAGUGGGGAAUUUUGGACAAUGGGCGCAAGCCUGAUCCAGCCAUGCCGCGUGCGGGAAGAAGGCCUCGG